CCAGACUCCUACGGGAGGCAGCAGUGGGGAAUAUUGGGCAAUGGAGGCAACUCUUACCCAGCAAUGCCGCGUGAAUGAAGAAGGUCUUCGGAUUGUAAAGUUCUUUAAUUGGGGACGAAAAGAAUGACGGUACCCAAGGAAUAAGCCCCGGCUAACUACGUGCCAGCAGCCGCGGUAAUACGUAGGGGGCAAGCGUUAUCCGGAUUUACUGGGUGUAAAGGGAGCGUAGACGGCCAGACAAGUCUGAAGUGAAAAUCCAGCGCUUAACGUUGGAAGUGCUUUGGAAACUGCCGGGCUGGAGUGCAGGAGGGGCAGGCGGAAUUCCUAGUGUAGCGGUGAAAUGCGUAGAUAUUAGGAGGAACACCAGUGGCGAAGGCGGCCUGCUGGACUGCAACUGACGUUGAGGCUCGAAGGCGUGGGGAGCAAACAGGAUUAGAUACCCCGGUA
Molecule: ribosomal RNA, 447 nt
Filed under: uncultured bacterium
Lineage: Bacteria
Description: bacterial SSU rRNA
Rfam family: Bacterial small subunit ribosomal RNA
Source: RNAcentral